AACGGCCGUACCAUGCUGAAUAUACCGGUUCUCGUUAGAUCACCGAAGUUAAGCAUCAUUGGGCGCGGUCAGUACUUGGGUGGGUGACCACCUGGGAACAC
This 101-nucleotide ribosomal RNA is filed under the name Caerostris darwini. Lineage: Eukaryota; Metazoa; Arthropoda; Arachnida; Araneae; Araneidae. The record is from RNAcentral.